Molecule: ribosomal RNA, 379 nt
Filed under: uncultured delta proteobacterium
Lineage: Bacteria; Deltaproteobacteria
Also listed under: 1 other name
Description: partial 16S ribosomal RNA
Rfam family: Bacterial small subunit ribosomal RNA
Source: RNAcentral
ACAUUUUNGGAAAAACGANCCNANCCNGAGCUUGCUUGGGAGAGUAAAGUGGCGCACGGGUGAGUAACGCGCGGGUAACCCACCUUNGAAUCUGGGAUAACUCCGUGAAAGCGGUGCUAAUACCGGAUAAGACCACAGCCGUUUCGGCGGCAGAGGUAAAAGCUGACCUCUCCAUGGAAGUUAGCGUUCGAGGACGGGCCCGCGUCCUAUNAGCUUGUUGGUGGGGUAAUGGCCUACCAAGGCAGCGACGGGUANAUGGUCUGAGAGGAUGAUCAGCCACACUGGAACUGGAACACGGUCCAUACUCCUACGGGAGGCAGCAGUGAGGAAUUUUGCGCAAUAGGGGGAAAGCCUGACGCAGCANCGCCGCGUGGGUGAA